CCCUUAGAUGUUCUGGGCCGCACGCGCGCUACACUGAUGCAUUCAACAAGCCUAGCCUUGACCGAGAGGUCCGGGUAAUCUUUGAAACUGCAUCGUGAUGGGGCUAGAUUAUUGCAAUUAUUAAUCUUCAACGAGGAAUGCCUAGUAAGCGUGAUUCAUCAAAUCGCGUUGAUUACGUCCCUGCCCUUUGUACACACCGCCCGUCGCUCCUACCGAUUGAAUGUGUUGGUGAGGAGCUCGGAUUGGCAGCAGUUGGUGGUUCGCCACCGGCUAUUGCUGAGAAGUCCUCCAAACCGCCCCAUUUAGAGGAAGGCGAAGUCGUAACA
RNAcentral lists this ribosomal RNA (326 nucleotides) under uncultured eukaryote. Its description in RNAcentral is "partial 18S ribosomal RNA". It matches the Rfam family "Eukaryotic small subunit ribosomal RNA", at positions 1470 to 1796 of the family's 1831-position model. The record is from RNAcentral.